CUCUGCAAGGAAUUUAGCAAUGUUAUUCGACAAUAUAUAGCUCAAGGACUGUAUUUUUUUUGCACAGGAUACCAGCUUAUAUUGGCAAACCAUGCUCAGUAGCCUGCCAGUUUCUGACAGAAAUACUGACCAAGAAGCCAAAUCACAUCCUUCAUGCAAACAAAGCCAGCAGUUUUCGCAUGAAUUUCUUUCACCUUGCGCUUGUGCUACUGCCGCUGAGCUUCAUCUGUCCUCCCGUCGGUUCAUGCAUUGAGCAGGAGAGGCUAACCCUCCUCCGGUUCCUCGCGGAGCUGUCACCGCCACAUGAUAAUGGCCUCGCUGCGUCAUGGAGGAAUAGGACCGACUGCUGUACCUGGGAAGGGAUCAUCUGUGAUGUGGAUGGUGCAGUAACCAAGAUCUUGCUGGCCUCAAGAGGCCUUGAAGGGCGCAUCUCGUCAUCCCUGAGCGAGCUCACCAGCUUGUCGCGGCUCAACCUGUCAUACAACUCACUCUCCGGUGGGCUUCCGCCAGAGCUGAUAUUCUCUGGCAGCAUCGUUGUCCUCGAUGUCAGCUUCAACCGCCUCGGCGGGGAACUACAAGAGGUAGACUCAUCAUCAUCUGAUUGGCCACUCCAGGUACUGAAUAUCUCAAGUAAUCUGUUUACUGGAGCAUUUCCAUCCACCACAUGGGAGAAAAUGAGCAACCUAGUAGCGAUCAAUGCAAGCAACAACAGCUUCACUGGGCACAUACCUUCCUCUUUCUGCAUCAGCUCACUAUCCUUUGCUGCUCUUGACCUUUGCUACAACCAAUUCAGUGGCGAAAUCCCCGCUGGGAUAGGUAAAUGCUCUGCACUUAGAAUGCUCAAAGCUGGCCACAACAACAUUAGUGGGGCCCUCCCGGAUGAUCUCUUCCAUGCCACAUCAUUGGAGUACCUCUCUUUUCCUAACAAUGGUUUGCAAGGAACAAUUAAGCUUGUGAUAAAGCUCAGUAAUCUAGUUUUUCUUGAUCUUGGGGGGAACAGUUUCAGUGGCAAGGUCCCAGAAUCUAUAGGCGAGCUCAAGAAACUGGAGGAGCUUCGCAUGGACCAUAACUACAUAUCUGGGGAGCUGCCAUCAACCUUGGCCAAUUGCACAAAUCUAGCAGCCAUCGUCCUCGUGAGCAACAAAUUCACAGGAGACCUUGCUAAGGUUAACUUCUCCAACCUACCAAAUCUGAAAACUUUAGAUCUUUGCACGAAUUACUUCACCGGCACAAUUCCAGCAAGUAUCUACUCAUGCAGUAAUUUAACUUGGUUGCGGUUAUCUUUCAAUAAGCUUCACGGUCAGUUGCCAGAGGAGACAGAAAAGUUGAAAUCCCUUACCUUUGUAUCUCUUUCGUACAACUACUUUACCAAUAUCACAGGUGCACUUCAUAUACUCAAGAGCUUAAGGAACCUCACUACCUUGCUAAUUGGGGGCAAUUUCAUGCAUGAAACUAUUCACAGGAUGAAACAAUUCAUGGUCUUGAGAAUCUUCAGGUUCUUGGCAUAAAUGAUUGUGCACUGACUGGAAAAAUACCUAGUUGGCUCUCAAAGCUAAAAAAAUUGGAACUUCUACUUUUAUACAACAAUCAACUUAGUGGACCAAUACCAACCUGGAUCAAGAGCCUAAACUACCUUAAGUAUGUAGACUUAUCCAAUAAUAGCCUUAUAGGGGAAAUACCAACAUCACUAACAGAGAUGCCAAUGCUAAGAUCAGACAAGAUUGCGGAUCACUCAAACCCAAGACUCUUUCGGAUGCCAGUUUUUGUGGCUCCAUCUCUUCAGUACCAUACGGCUAAUGCAUUCCCUAAAAUGUUGAAUCUAGGUAACAACAAAUUCAGUGGUGUGAUCCCCAUGGAGAUUGGUCAGUUGAAAGCGCUCCUCUCACUCAACUUGAGCUUCAACAACUUACAUGGGGAGAUCCCGCAAUCGGCCAGCAACCUCAAGAAUCUGAUGGUGCUAGACCUGUCUUCCAACCAUCUGACAGGUGCAAUCCCUUCGUCACUGGCGAACUUGCACUUUCUUUCUAACUUCAACAUUUCUUACAAUGACCUUGAAGGGCCUGUACCAACUAUAGGCCAGUUCAGCACAUUUCCAACUUCCAGUUUUGCUGGGAACCCGAAGCUAUGCAGCCCUAUGCUUUUGCACCGCUGCAAUUCAGCAGGAGCAGCUCCAGUCUCCACAAUCCCCACAAAGCAGUACAUUGACAAGUUUGUCUUCGCAAUUGCAUUUGGCAUGUUCUUUGGAGUAGGAGUGCUAUAUGAUCAAAUUGUUGUGUCCAGAUUCUUUGGCUAAACCAGACAAUAAUUUGUGCUGGCUUGUACUGUUGUACAUUACGCAAUGGGUCACAGAAUUGAAAUAAGCAACCAACAGCCGACUUUCUAAUUAAUAUAACCAUCUCCAGGAUUCCAA
Molecule: non-coding RNA, 2410 nt
Organism: Oryza sativa Japonica Group (Japanese rice)
Lineage: Eukaryota; Viridiplantae; Streptophyta; Magnoliopsida; Poales; Poaceae
Source: RefSeq, a predicted model, not a curated record